CCUACGGGUGGCAGCAGUCGAGAAUCAUUCACAAUGGGGGAAACCCUGAUGGAGCAACGCCGCGUGCAGGAUGAAGGCCUUCGGGUUGUAAACUGCUUUUAUAAGCGAGAAAUAUGAUGGUAACUUAUGAAUAAGGAUCGGCUAACUACGUGCCAGCAGCCGCGGUCAUACGUAGGAUCCGAGCAUUAUCCGGAGUGACUGGGUGUAAAGAGUUGCGUAGGUGGCAUAAUAAGUAGCUAGUGAAAUCUGGUGGCUCAACCAUUCAGACUAUUAGCUAAACUGUUAAGCUCGAGACCGUUAGGGGUAACUGGAAUUUCUAGUGUAGGAGUGAAAUCCGUAGAUAUUAGAAGGAACACCAAUAGCGUAGGCAGGUUGCUGGGACGGUUCUGACACUAAGGCACGAAAGCGUAGGGAGCAAACGGGAUUAGAUACCCCAGUAGUC
This 442-nucleotide ribosomal RNA is filed under the name uncultured bacterium. Its description in RNAcentral is "partial 16S ribosomal RNA". It matches the Rfam family "Bacterial small subunit ribosomal RNA", at positions 338 to 795 of the family's 1533-position model. The record is from RNAcentral.